AUUGAACGCUGGCGGCAGGCCUAACACAUGCAAGUCGAGCGGAUGAAGGGAGCUUGCUCCUGGAUUCAGCGGCGGACGGGUGAGUAAUUCCUAGGAAUCUGCCUGGUAGUGGGGGAUAACGUCCGGAAACGGGCGCUAAUACCGCAUACGUCCUGAGUGAGAAAGUGAGGGUUCUUCGGACAUCACGCUAUCAGAUGAGCCUAGGUCGGAUUAGCUAGUUGGUGGGGUAAAGGCCUACCAAGGCGACGAUCCGUAACUGGUCUGAGAGGAUGAUCAGUCACACUGGAACUGAGACACGGUCCAGACUCCUACGGGAGGCAGCAGUGGGGAAUAUUGGACAAUGGGCGAAAGCCUGAUCCAGCCAUGCCGCGUGUGUGAAGAAGGUCUUCGGAUUGUAAAGCACUUUAAGUUGGGAGGAAGGGCAGUAAGUUAAUACCUUGCUGUUUUGACGGUACCAACAGAAUAAGCACCGGCUAACUUCGUG
Molecule: ribosomal RNA, 484 nt
Filed under: uncultured bacterium
Lineage: Bacteria
Description: partial 16S ribosomal RNA
Rfam family: Bacterial small subunit ribosomal RNA
Source: RNAcentral